RNAcentral lists this ribosomal RNA (494 nucleotides) under uncultured bacterium. RNAcentral's name for it is "partial 16S ribosomal RNA". It matches the Rfam family "Bacterial small subunit ribosomal RNA", at positions 28 to 507 of the family's 1533-position model. The record is from RNAcentral.
GACGAACGCUGGCGGCGUGCCUAAUACAUGCAAGUCGAGCGGACUUAAAAAGCUUGCUUUUUAAGUUAGCGGCGGACGGGUGGGUAACACGUGGGCAACCUGCCUGUAAGACUGGGAUAACUUCGGGAAACCGGAGCUAAUACCGGAUAAUCCUUUUCUACUCAUGUAGAAAAGCUGAAAGACGGUUUACGCUGUCACUUACAGAUGGGCCCGCGGCGCAUUAGCUAGUUGGUGAGGUAACGGCUCACCAAGGCGACGAUGCGUAGCCGACCUGAGAGGGUGAUCGGCCACACUGGGACUGAGACACGGCCCAGACUCCUACGGGAGGCAGCAGUAGGGAAUCUUCCGCAAUGGACGAAAGUCUGACGGAGCAACGCCGCGUGAGUGAUGAAGGUGUUCGGAUCGUAAAACUCUGUUGUUAGGGAAGAACAAGUACGAGAGUAACUGCUCGUACCUUGACGGUACCUAAACAGAAAGCCACGGCUAACUACGUG